GACGAACGCUGGCGGCAUGCCUAAUACAUGCAAGUCGAACGAGAGCGACCGGUGCUUUCACUGGUCAAUCUAUUGGCGAACGGGUGAUUAACACGUGGGUAACCUGCCCAUCAGAGGGGGAUAACAUCCGGAAACGGAUGCUAAAACCGCAUAGGUCUUCGAACUGCAUGGUUUGAAGAUGAAAAGAGCCGCAAGCUACUGCUGAUGGCUGCACCCGCGGUGCAUUAGCUAGUUGGUGAGGUAACGGCUCACCAAGGCCGUGAUGCAUAGCCGACCUGAGAGGGUGAUCGGACACAUUGGGACUGAGACACGGCCCAAACUCCUACGGGAGGCAGCAGUAGGGAAUCUUCCGCAAAGGACGAAAGUCUGACGGAGCAACGCCGCGUGAGUGAAGAAGGUGUUCUGAUCGUAAAACUCUGUUGUUAGAGAAGAACAAGUGCUAGAGUAACUGUUAGCGCCUUGACGGUAUCUAAACAGAAAGCCACGGCUAACUACGUG
Molecule: ribosomal RNA, 498 nt
Filed under: uncultured bacterium
Lineage: Bacteria
Description: partial 16S ribosomal RNA
Rfam family: Bacterial small subunit ribosomal RNA
Source: RNAcentral